CUAUCAAACCCGGAGAUAUCUCGUUCUCCCCGAAACAGCUUUAGGGCUGGCCCCGGGCAUUGACCAUCGGAGGUAGAGCACUGGACCGGCGAGGGGGCCUCACCGCCUACCGACCCAGACCAAACUCCGAAUGCCGAUGGUUUCGACCCCGGGAGUCAGAGCGCGUGGGCUAAGCUGCGCGCUCGAGAGGGAAACAGCCCAGACCGCCCGCCAAGGCCCCAAAGGCCGUGCUAAGUGGCAAAGGAUGUGCGCCCGCCCAGACAACCAGGAUGUUGGCUUAGAAGCAGCCAUCCAUUCAAAGAGUGCGUAACAGCUCACUGGUCGAGUGGGGGCGCGCCGACAAUGCGCGGGGCUCAAGCACGGCGCCGAAGCGGCGGAAUCAAGCAAUUGAUUGGUAGGGGAGCUUUCCAUGCCGGGCGAAGCCGGAGGCGCGAGCCCCGGUGGACGGCAUGGAAGUGAGGAUGCAGGCAUGAGUAGCGAGAGAGCGGCGAGAAACCGCUCCGCCGAAAACCCAAGGUUUCCUGGGCGAGGCUAAUCCCCCCAGGGUCAGCCGGGAGCUAAGGCGAGGCCGGAAGGCGCAGCCGAUGCACGACGGGCAGACAUUCCCGUGCCGGCGCGGGCGCGCUACGACCGAUGGGACGACGGGGAAGGAUACGCGAGCGGGGUUCUGGACGUCCCCGUGAAAGCGCGUAGGGAGGGGCCCAGGGAAAUCCGGUCCCCACAUAUCCCGAGACGCGAGACGAGCCAUGCGGCGAAGUCGCGGAUUCCAUGCCUCCUAGAAAAAUCCCUAGGCAGCGCCCACGCCGCCCGUACCAAAACCGACACAGGUGGGUAGGAAGAGCAUUCCGAGGCGAUCGGGGCAACCAUGGUCAAGGAACUCGGCAUAAUCGUCCCGUAACUUAGGGAGAAGGGACGCCCCCCAGCGUGUACCGGCUCGCCCGGGAAGCGCCGGGGGGCCGCAGCGAAAGGGCCCAAGCGACUGUUUACCAAAAACACAGGACUCUGCCAAGCCGCGAGGCGAAGUAUAGGGUCUGACGCCUGCCCGGUGCCGGAAGGUCACGGGGAUCCGUUAGAGAGAUCGAAGCGGUGAACCCAAGCCCCGGUAAACGGCGGCCGUAACUAUAACGGUCCUAAGGUAGCGAAAUUCCUUGUCGGGUAAGUUCCGACCUGCACGAACGGCGCAACGACUUGGGCGCUGUCUCGACCAUGGGCCCGGCGAAAUUGCAUUAUCCGUGAAGAUGCGGAUUC
RNAcentral lists this ribosomal RNA (1248 nucleotides) under human gut metagenome. RNAcentral's name for it is "bacterial LSU rRNA". It matches the Rfam family "Bacterial large subunit ribosomal RNA", at positions 830 to 2068 of the family's 2925-position model. The record is from RNAcentral.